Molecule: microRNA precursor, 93 nt
Filed under: Petromyzon marinus (sea lamprey)
Lineage: Eukaryota; Metazoa; Chordata; Hyperoartia; Petromyzontiformes; Petromyzontidae
Description: microRNA pma-mir-10a precursor
Gene: pma-mir-10a
Rfam family: mir-10 microRNA precursor family (bases 11-85)
About the family: In this case the mature sequence comes from the 5' arm of the precursor. The extents of the hairpin precursors are not generally known and are estimated based on hairpin prediction.
Source: miRBase by way of RNAcentral
UAAGGGUGGCCGAUGUAUACCCUGUGGACUCGAAUUUGUGCUGGCUUCUGGAAUCCACAAAUUCGAUUCUUAAGGACUACAUAGUCACCUCCU